This 377-nucleotide ribosomal RNA is filed under the name uncultured bacterium. Its description in RNAcentral is "bacterial SSU rRNA". It matches the Rfam family "Bacterial small subunit ribosomal RNA", at positions 523 to 898 of the family's 1533-position model. The record is from RNAcentral.
AUACGUAGGUGGCGAGCGUUGUCCGGAAUUACUGGGCGUAAAGGGUGCGUAGGCGGUUAUAAAAGUCAGAUGUGAAAUUCCGGGGCUCAACUUCGGAAUUGCAUUUGAAACUUUAUAGCUAGAGUGCAGGAGAGGGAAGCGGAAUUCCUAGUGUAGCGGUGAAAUGCGUAGAUAUUAGGAAGAACACCAGUGGCGAAGGCGGCUUUCUGGACUGUAACUGACGCUGAGGCACGAGAGCGUGGGGAGCAAACAGGAUUAGAUACCCUGGUAGUCCACGCUGUAAACGAUGAGUGCUAGGUGUAGGAGGUAUCGACACCUUCUGUGCCGCAGUAAACGCAAUAAGCACUCCGCCUGGGGAGUACGGUCGCAAGACUAAA